AGAAAGAAAAAUUUACAUGAGAACAAGAAAUCUCAUAUUGGAGUGAAUGUUUGCUCUGGGUGGAAGAGAACAGAAUGGAAGGGGGAACAAGUCAUACAGACAUCAUAUGUAUCUAAAACAUUUAAUUUUCAAAACUAGCAGGUAAAUGUAUUUUUUUUUAGUUUCUAUGUUUAUUAAUUUAGUUCUAUGUUUAUCAGUCUAUGUUUUCAUUUGCUAGACCUAUUUAAUCAUUACCCAAAUCCUGUGGGUGUAUACUAUAAAUGAAUGAAGCCAACUUUAGUUAAUAUUCUUUGACUGUGAUGAAAUAUCCCGACAAAGGCGACUUGAGGGGCAAGAGUUUAUUCUGGAUCACAGUUCAAGUUAUAGUCCAUCAUGGUGGUGGGACUUGAGCUGCUCACGUGGUGUCCACAGUCAGGAACCAGAGAGAAGAAAGCAGCUGCUGAGCUCACUUCCUCCUUAUACAGUCCAGGACCUUAGGGAAUGGUGCCACCCACAGAGGGCAAGUCUUCCCACUUCAGCUAACCUAAUUAAGAUUCCCCCUGCACCUGCAAACUCAGGGGCACCUCUCACAGUUAACCCUAGAUCUCAUCAGGAUGCCAAUUGAGAUUAACUUUCACCAACCCUGAGGGUGUGGAUUCUGGCUCUACAGCCAGUUUGAAGUUAACGUAAAUUAAGGCAUUGAAUUUCUUGUAAUCUUUGUAUCCUCAUCCAUAAGGAUAAGGACAACAGUGUCCACCUUAUAGGAUCACUGUCAUGAUUAACGGGGAUAACAUAUGCAAAAUUCCCAGCUUACUGCUUAGGAGCCAACAAGCCCUCAAGGGAUCACAGAGCCUUCGUUGUGAAUUUCGGGAACAACAGGGUGUGGUCCUAUAAACUGCCCUGUGUGCUGCACCACGAUUCAAGGGGGCUGCAUUCUUUUCUAUUUGAAAACUCAGAUCAAGGUCCUUCUCUGCAUACAAGAGCGAUGAAUGCUCGAUGCAGAAAGUACUUAAAAAUAUGAGAAUAUACAGGGACGAAAAUUAAAAUGUUGCUGUGAUUUUGGCAGAAUUUAUAAACGAAUAUAAAUUACGUAAUGACAUCACUUCUGGCUGUGUUAAUAUUCUAGUGGCUAGACGAGGGUUGACUUAUUUAUUAUAUUGACUGUGGGAUAUUUGGUUUGUUUCUCUAAUGUUUAAUUGCUAUGAUUAAUGCUAUAGUAGGCAUCUUUGUUCUGAUAUAUAUUCUUGUAUGAUUUCUUUGUGCAAAAUAUUUGUGGAAAUUUUAAUUAAAUAUUAUGUAUGUUUUAUGACAUAUAAUACACACAGAGAAAGAGAAUUCUUUGGGUACCAUGGUGAGGAGUCUCUAGCCAUGGUGAGGUAAUAAUCUAGCUAUGGUGAGGAGUCCUAUAUUCCCCCAAAUUACUUUUCAAUAGGGGAACUGCAGCAGACAUGGAUCUGCAACAGGGGACUAGCCACUUUGAUGAGUGAGGAAUAUCAGGGACAUGCUACAGAGCAGGACUUGCACAGGCCAAUGAAAGCAAACUUCAACAGACUCCAUGCAGGGAGAAUCUCAUUCAACUUCUUAAGUGUAGUUUCUAUCUACAGCCAACUAGAUGCAGACACCAGCUAGAAAUGAUCCGGUACCCAGACCGUGGGUUUUCUGAAUGGAGGUCUUGUGGUGACUUAGUUGGAAAGCUAAUGGGGUAGAAACAAGUGUCACAUCUCUGGCUGACCUUGAGAUGUGAUUUUCUUGUGUCUUGGCUACUCACCUUGUACCUGUCCUCCCUUCUAGCAUGUGGGUUCUUAGGUCCACUUUCAACUGCCUAAAUGGGGAGACGAAGGGCAUUUCGACAGAGGACCCUGCCCGUAUGGGAACACCUUGCUCCAUUGACUCAGAAGAGCGUUGCUGGGUUUACAAGCGGAGAGUACUAAUCUGGAAAACGUCUCCCCUCGGCUGAAAUAGGAGAUCUAUUUCCUUAUCCCUCCCCCCCAGACCAUUGUGUCAGAAUGUUGGGCAUUCUAUCAACAAUAAAUUACAAGUCCUGUGCUACAGACAAUGCUAUUACUCAGUUGAGGGACCGACGGCUUCGUAACCAAGCUGGUUCGCAUGUCGACGGCGGAUGCUUUCUUGCUGUAUUCAAUUUCAAAGGAAUGAAAGAAAGGCCUUUACGCUCACUGCAGUGCACGCCCAGACUGACCCCCGAAAAUUUCUUCCUUCCUCGCGUCCUGGGUUUUUUUUCCAGGAGAGAUCACAAAGGUGAGAUGGAUGCUUUCAACAAAUCUUGAAGAGAGGAUUGUGUCAGAAAUCAGAACUUGGCCACUUUAUGUUACCCUGUGAUGUACGAGGCCUCACUCAUGACAGCCAGGCCCGGGCAGUGGGGUCAUUUCCUCGGGCAGCAGCCUGUUAUGGGACUCUGACGAAUGUGCCCAGUUCUCAUUUGACUCAAGGGGUGGGCUGUGAGGCCUUGCCUUCGUGCUUCCCAGGUAACUGCUGACAGCAAUAAUUUAUAGCUUCAUGCUCGGUGAAAUGGCCUUUCUGUGAGAAUGACCUCCCACAAAUGCACCAUGAAGGCCACUGUGGACCCAAUCAUUGUCAUAAUUGUUUUAUAUUUUCCACUAAUCAAGGGCAUAACCCCAAGGUAGAUACCAUUAUCUGUUAUUAUAGCCUUGCUCGGUGUACGAAGCCACCGAGGCACAGAGCUUACCCUGCUUAAAGACGUAGCUCACACGAACGCAGGCAGUUUGGUUCAAUCUUUUAUGCUUUUGGCAACUACACUGUGUUGCUGCAAUGCUGCCCUACUGGAGAGCUGGAAUGGAGGCUAAACACGCAUCCGAUUGUCUUAGUUUACAGCGACUUAACAGAGGGGAGGCUGCGCGGUGAGUCUCCCAUAAACACUUUCUGCUAGUUGGUCAAAGGAUGAGGUGGACAGAAACGCCCCCACAGUUUGUUCAAACUAACAACGGAAGUCCCGCUGUCAGUGAACCUGGGGUCAGGAGAGGAAGGGAAGACUAAUUUCAGCUUGGCUAUGGGGUGGCGGGUAAAGUGUCAAUCUAAAACAGGGAGGAGGUCAGUCACCCGAGAUGGCUGCACCAACGCAGUGUUCGGGGGUCCCCGUAGAGCUACCCUUAUGACAGCCACCUAGCCCUGACAUCAUAUCUGGAAGUCUUCGAGCCACGUUAGUGAAUUACCUUGACGGAAAUAAAGGAGUCUAAAGUCUCAAGUCACGAUCUGGUUUCCAGCGAGCUGUGAUAGGGAAGUUAAUUAAAACUAGGAAUUGAAUUUUUUUCUUUUUAAGAGAAGUGGCCAUUGAGUGUUAAUCAGCUGUAAAGAAGGGAGCAGAAAGCCAGGGGAAUCUAUAAAACCGCUCUGCCCUGUAAGCACAGUUACUUCACCUCUGACCUCCGUAGCUGAGCAAGGAUUUGGCUCCGGCAAUCUUCUCUGGGAAGCCAGCGGUUUGAACUGCUGCCACCAGCAAAUGAGUUUUCUCUACCGAGAAUGAAUUCUCCUGAAGUGCUGAAACAAAGGUCUGUGUCCCGGGUGGCUAUUAUUUAUUUGCUGGAGAUGCUGCGAAAUAUCCCCUACUGUUUUCCCUGGGUCUGGGAACUGUGAGCCAUGGUACUUAGCCUCAGGUCUAACGGAAUGAAGCUCACCAAAGGGAGAAAGUGGCGGGGUGAGGGACAAGAAAUAUGAAAAGCGCCUACUAAUACAGGCCUCGAAGUAAGCGAGUCAUAAAAGCGAACAAGCCUUGUUUACUGACCUCCUCCCGUCUUGAGGAUGGGGCACAGGACUGAAUUAACUCUACAGCAGUGGUGUUCGGGGCAGACAAGGGAGGGGGCCGGUUUGGGGUGGUUCUGAGACCUUCUCUCAGUGAGCAGCAGUGAGUGACCAAACAGCAGCUGCGGGUUUACAUUCUGGUUUCCGGUUCUCUCCAGUCAAGAGUCUGAGCUUUUGCGUGACAAUGUAAUACACAUAGAUCACUGUGAAAACGGCCUCAUGUCCCACUGCAUUGUCAGUGCGGUAGGGAGCCUUGCUGCCUUAGUCUGUAGGAAAAAACAGGGAGAACUGGCUUCUCUCAUUCACGGUUUUUACAUUUUAGUAAUAAUCUUCUUUGCGGAAAUCAGGUUUAUAGGGUGAUCAACAGAGAAAUAUUUAUAAUGCAAAAGCCAAGACUUUGGUAAAAUAAAUCUUGGUAUUUUCUUAGAAUACUAUGCUUGAAAUGACUAUGUGCAGAUAUCUUUAGCAAAGAAAAGAGUUCUGAAUAUUGGGAAAUUUUCUUUUUCCUUUUUUUUUGGUUUGAGUAUCGUGCUUAGUGAAAAGUACUGUGGAAUAAUUAACACGAGUAAGUUGGUUUCCUAAGAGGGUUUCUAACAUAAUGAUGCUCAGAUGAAAGCCUGGGCCACUGAGAUGAGAGGCGGUGGUUAAAGGUGCUUGCAGCCCACACCUGAGUUCAAUCCCCAGGACCCAGAAAAAGGUGGGAAGAGAGAAAGUGGUUUCUCAGAGUGGUCACCUGACGGCAACACAGCAUGUGUGCACACACAACAAAAAGACACUCAGUAAUAGUAAUGACAAUAACGAUGUCUAGAAAUACCAUGCAUGCAAAAUACCAACAAGGUGCUGGAGAGAAGGCUGCAAGCUGGGUGUGGUGGAGCACGCCUUUAAUCCCAGCAUUUGGGAGGCAGAGGCAGACAGGUCUCUGUGAACUGGAAGCCAGCCUGGUUUACAUUGGGAGUUCCAGAACAACCAAACCAAGGCUACAUAGUGUGUGUGUGUGUGUGUGUGUGUGUGUGUGUGUGUGUGACAGAGAGAGAGAGAGAGGGAGGGAAGGAGAGAGAGAGAGAGAG
This is a long non-coding RNA of Alexandromys fortis (reed vole), 4820 nucleotides long. RefSeq lists it as uncharacterized. The transcript has 3 exons. NCBI's taxonomy places the organism in Eukaryota, Metazoa, Chordata, Mammalia, Rodentia, Cricetidae. The record is from RefSeq and is a predicted model, not a curated record.